RNAcentral lists this ribosomal RNA (253 nucleotides) under uncultured bacterium. Its description in RNAcentral is "partial 16S ribosomal RNA". It matches the Rfam family "Bacterial small subunit ribosomal RNA", at positions 524 to 776 of the family's 1533-position model. The record is from RNAcentral.
UACGGGGGGGGCAAGCGUUGUUCGGAAUUACUGGGCGUAAAGGGCUCGUAGGCGGCCAACUAAGUCAGACGUGAAAUCCCUCGGCUUAACCGGGGAACUGCGUCUGAUACUGGAUGGCUUGAGUUUGGGAGAGGGAUGCGGAAUUCCAGGUGUAGCGGUGAAAUGCGUAGAUAUCUGGAGGAACACCGGUGGCGAAGGCAAUCCCCUGGACCUGCACUGACGCUCAUGCACGAAAGCGUGGGGAGCAAACAGG